GAACGUACAGCUUAGUGGUCAGAGGGCUUGGAUGGUUUCCAAGUGGCGCUGGUUCCAAUCCCGCUACCUUUU
This 72-nucleotide transfer RNA is filed under the name Heliconius melpomene (postman butterfly). RNAcentral's name for it is "tRNA HMEL004618". It matches the Rfam family "tRNA". Rfam says of the family: Transfer RNA (tRNA) molecules are approximately 80 nucleotides in length. Their secondary structure includes four short double-helical elements and three loops (D, anti-codon, and T loops). Further hydrogen bonds mediate the characteristic L-shaped molecular structure. tRNAs have two regions of fundamental functional importance: the anti-codon, which is responsible for specific mRNA codon recognition, and the 3' end, to which the tRNAs corresponding amino acid is attached (by aminoacyl-tRNA synthetases). tRNAs cope with the degeneracy of the genetic code in two manners: having more than one tRNA (with a specific anti-codon) for a particular amino acid; and 'wobble' base-pairing, i.e. permitting non-standard base-pairing at the 3rd anti-codon position. The record is from RNAcentral. Lineage: Eukaryota; Metazoa; Arthropoda; Insecta; Lepidoptera; Nymphalidae.